AAACCCGUCAGUAGCGCAAGCAAACGACGGCGUGGCGUAGCGCACACACAAAGACCGUAUCCUUAAAAUUUCAAGAUGAGUUACGGCCGCCCCCCUCCAGAUACGGAUAGUAUGGUAUCCUUGAAGGUUGAUAAUUUAACAUACAGGACAACACCAGAAGAUCUUCGACGAGCCUUUCAAAAAUACGGUGAAGUCGGAGACGUUUACAUUCCAAGAGACCGAUUUACUAGGGAGAGCAGAGGUUUUGCCUUUGUCAGGUAUUUCGAUAAACGAGAUGCUGAAGAUGCGCUUGAUGCCAUGGACGGUACAGUGAUGGACGGACGAGAACUUCGAGUGCAGAUGGCUAGAUAUGGAAGACCAACAGAUCCUCACAGACGAUCAUCAUCAAGAAGAUAUGGCAGUCGCAGACGAUCACACUCAAGGUCGAGGUCGCGUUCACGAGAUAGAAGGCGGCGGAAGUACUCGAGAAGUCGUAGUCGUUCUUACAGUAAAUCCAGAAGUCGCAGCAAGAGUAGGAGUCGCAGCAAGAGUAGGAGCAGGUCCAGGUCUAGGAGGUCAUCACGAUCCAGGUCUAGGUCCAGAUCUAGGUCCAGGUCAAGGAGCAGGAGUCCUGACAAGGUGCAGGAGGCAGAUUGAGCCUGAAAGGAUUGGUUUCAUCUUGGACUUUACACAGAACUCGUUUUGAUGAAUUGCUGCUUUAACAAAAAAGGAGCAGUAGGCUGUAAAAUAUGCAGAACUGCUGGGGCCGGGUUGGCAGUAGCAGCCCAUGCAGUAGUUGCAGUAAGGCAGACUAGCAGUCCGAUAGCUGUCCUGUCAGAGCAGUCUCAAUAAGCAGUGUCACCGAGAAUAGUUAUCCAGAACAGAUUGGCAGUUUGAACUGAUUCAUUCUGCCAUAUUAAUGAUGUCUGGUGUUGCUGAAAUAAUGUUCUGAAUAAAUAGCUCUGGCAUAAAAAUGAAAAGCUACUGAUAAGUCUGAAACAAGACUGUUGUUAGUUUUGAGGGAGGGGGUGGGGGUUGUUAAACGAAUUAUAACUGACUGUCAAAAACUUCAGCAGACAUUAGAUUAUCCAACAAAUUGAAUAUUUUACUGAUUUGGCCAUUCAAUGGUACAGGAAGUCAUUAGGUUGAUCAGUUUUCACCAUAUAAAAACCACAAGAUUGAAUUUUUAAUAACAUGAAAAAAACUGCAUUUAUGGAGAUUUAAAUGGAAAAAAGGAUCUCCUUAAAGUAACACACUUGGAAUUCCUAAACCUAUUAUAAAGCCACUACCAUAAACAUGUAAAAAUAUUUCCGUACAAUCCCUCGUCAAAAUUGAUUUCUCAGUGCACAGGUGUAUAAAUGAUGGCUGUUGACUGGAACAUAUUCUAUGUUCGAAAACGGAAUAAUCAAUCUUUCUGCUUUAAUAUCUGAAUUUGAAUCUGCUGACUUGGUAUGCAAGUUUGUAAUUUUGAAGCCAGAGGUCAGGUUUUGAUGACCUCUAGCUGAAAUCUGUUACCAUUCAUUAACUGGAAAAGCUAAGGCACAAAGACCUCGGGCUUAGUAUGCAAGUUGGUAAUUACCAGCAGAUGAACCAUGUUGAUUUUUGGGACAAAUAUCAAGAUUGUGGUGAUCAAGCUGAAAAUUUGUUUUAAAUUAAUAAGAGAAGAAUGCUUCAGCCCAGAGAUCAGUUGAUAUCAACUCCUAUUUUGCAGCAACUUGAAAUGAAAAGUAUUGACAGAUCAAUAUUUCCAAAGUUAAUAGGAAGGUAUGGUAGGUCAUGAAAAGACGUUGCAUACUAAAGGUUAUCUGUCUAUACAGGCUUAAAUACAACUCUUGUUUAUCCAAUCAUGAUUUUGAACUGCGUAUGUAAUAUCUAGGUCAAUCUUGAUAAAUCAUGAAUUGCAUUAUAGUUGUAACAACUGGCGACACAUCCAAUUUGUGAAAUUCUAAUGUAUUGCAGAGGAGACAGCAGUCGGCAGCUAAAACUACUUCUGAUUGAAGUUAUCUGAACUAAACAAUUUUGAAUGAAACUUCAAGCAGUAAUUGAUUGUGAUGUCAACUUGACACAUAUUUUAGAACAAAAACUUGGUGACCAGUUGUUCCCUUAUACUCUCCAUUGACUAGCAAGAAUAUUGGAAAAUUAUAGACAUGAAUUGAUAUUUAUUGGAAAGUGAUUGAUGGCAAUAUGUGUUUGACAAUCGAUUUCAUAUCUCUUGCCAAAAGAGGGGAAAUUGUAGGCUUUUUUUAGGUAAAUCUCAUCCGCAGCAUUACUAUUCCUUGGAGGUAUUGACUUUAAAACUUCACAAACAGAUAUAUCUCAUUGAGAACAAGUGCAGUGUUCAGUACACAAGAAUUAUAACUAGGUGCAGUAAUCUUUAGUUUUUGCGCUUUGUUAUCAUUCUAUUCACUUUAAACUUUGAUUACAGAUAUAGCUUAUUGAGCUAAAGUGCAGUGUAUAAAAACCAUAACUCAUUCUCUUGAUAAGUUGCUUACCAUGAGCAAGACAAAAUCCUACCAAUGUCAUUUCUGUGCAAGUGCAUCCUUCCAUUUAUCCAGACUGUAUCUUGACCAUGCAUCAUCGAAUUUUCAUAAAAACUUGCCGUGAAGGUUCAUCAUGAGGGGGCAUUUACCGCACAACACCUAGGUCAAUUGUCAAGGUUGUCUGUUGUCUGGCUCUAUCUUAACCAUGCAUUAUCGAAAUAACCUUGCAAUGAAGCUUCACUAUGAAAUUCGUGUUGCGCACACGGGUCUGUUCCGUCAUGGUUGAGGUCAAAGGUAAAAAUUGGGGAUGCAAACGAAUAUUCGAAUGAACGUUUGAUAUUCGAAUGUCAAAAUCGGUUUUCUAAUAUACGGUUUUUUGUUUGAUAAGAAAUUAAACUGUUUACCUACAACUGUGUUGUCGUACGUAUUCGCUUGUCUUGUUUUUACAAGGAUUGAUCCCUUAUGCCAGAGGCGUGAAUGUGAUGACACCGUACACGUGUCACAUGUUAAUAAGGGACAUAUCGUUGGUGACUAUAAACAGUACCUGUAAUUUUACGAAAACUGGCUAUUAGACAAGUGACACAAGUUUCAAUUAUUUUCAGUAAAUUGUUAUGACCAUGUCAAUAAAGGAUAUACAGUAUCAUCUACCAAUGUGGUGUCAUGGUUGCAAAUUAGCUGAGCAAUAUAGUUCAAAUCACCAUAAUGAUACCAAUGACAUGUGCUGGUUCUGUGCUCUAUAUUUUUCCAAGUUCGUGCUUUUAAAUGUUUCUGUAUAGAGUAGCGUUUUAGUACAUUGUUGUACAAAAGAUAAGUCAAAAUUCA
RNA transcript from Mya arenaria, 3281 nucleotides. It is a transcript of the gene named serine/arginine-rich splicing factor 2-like, with no coding region annotated. The record is from RefSeq and is a predicted model, not a curated record. NCBI's taxonomy places the organism in Eukaryota, Metazoa, Mollusca, Bivalvia, Myida, Myidae. The transcript is spliced from 4 exons.